UGAAUAAAAUUUUAUUCUGAAGACCAGUACAAAGUGAGGUCUUCCAUGUUCGGUUUUGACACCCUUCACCUCCAGUCUUGACGUCAUUUCAUUCCAAAAAUACGCAAAUACUGUAAUGGUCAAUAUGUUACAGAGUUAUUGGGCUAAAUCUUUUAUCAGAGAACCGUCAGAAAAUUUUCUCAGAAACUGGGACCAUACCGUUGCGCCCCGGUUCCUCUAAUUACAUGAUUUUAUCGUAUGUAAACACAACGGAUUACGGAUGACGUGCUUAUAAGCAAUUUACUUCUGAGGAUUGCAGGAAGCUCGAGCUUUCAAAAUUUUAGCAAAAAAACUAUUCCGCGACGUCUCAAUAGCCUGAAGAAUUUUCAGUUUCAAGCAAUAGCAGUUGAAGUAAAGCAUUUAAAUUAGUACUACCGAUUUUUAUAUGUCCACUGCUGAGUAUAGGACCCGCAAAUUUUGCCACUCUGUUCUGUUGUGCGCAGUCGGCUGUGGUUAAUGUCCUCUGUCCAUCUAGUUGGUGGUCCUCCUCUGCUUCUAUAAGCCUCUUGUGACCUCCACUGGAUUAUUUUCUUGGUUCAUAUACGAUUACUUUAUUUACAGAUUUCUCGCUACACAAUUUAAAAUUGUAGAAACAGGAAGGCCUGUUUACAUUUCAAUCCCCAAAGAAUGUACACAGUUUUCUGAUUAUAUAUUCACAGUUGCCACUCUGUAACUUGAUGUGAAAUCCUUAGAGGCCAUUGAGGUAUUUACAGAGGCAAGUACAUAGUCAGGAGCACCACAUGCAAACGAAACAACUCGCUAAUUCACUCAUCGUAUUGGGUAAAUAAUAGAUUUUUGGCUGGAGGUAAAAAAUCUUAGAGAUGGCUACUAGGCCGCCGAUUGAAGGCGCGCUAGUAGUGUCAGUUUCACCUCCUUCAGGAGGCUGCCUGCCUGAUUUCUUUUAGUGCCGCAUGUCUCAGAGCCAGCGAUCUUCAUGUUCUUGUUGUGCGGUUU
Molecule: long non-coding RNA, 993 nt
Organism: Dendroctonus ponderosae (mountain pine beetle)
Lineage: Eukaryota; Metazoa; Arthropoda; Insecta; Coleoptera; Curculionidae
Exons: 2
Source: RefSeq, a predicted model, not a curated record